ACCGGGCAUGGUGGUGCACGCCUAUAAUCCCAGUGGCUCUGGAGGCUGAGGCAGGAGGAUGGCAAGUUCAAAGCUAGUCUCAGUAACUUAGCGAGGCCCUCAGCAACUUAGCAAGACCCUGUCUCAA
RNAcentral lists this small RNA (127 nucleotides) under Marmota monax (woodchuck). Lineage: Eukaryota; Metazoa; Chordata; Mammalia; Rodentia; Sciuridae. The record is from RNAcentral.